CGACCGGCGCACGGGUGCGUAACGCGUAUGCAACCUACCAUCAACAGGGGGAUAACACUGAGAAAUUGGUACUAAUACCCCAUAAUAUCUCAUGCGGCAUCGCAUGGGGUUGAAAACUCCGGUGGUUGAUGAUGGGCAUGCGUUGUAUUAGCUGGUUGGUGAGGUAACGGCUCACCAAGGCGACGAUACAUAGGGGGACUGAGAGGUUAACCCCCCACAUUGGUACUGGGACACGGACCAAACUCCUACGGAAGGCAGCAG
Molecule: ribosomal RNA, 261 nt
Filed under: uncultured bacterium
Lineage: Bacteria
Description: partial 16S ribosomal RNA
Rfam family: Bacterial small subunit ribosomal RNA
Source: RNAcentral